UGGGGAAUAUUGGACAAUGGGCGCAAGCCUGAUCCAGCCAUGCCGCGUGAGUGAUGAAGGCCCUAGGGUUGUAAAGCUCUUUCACCGGUGAAGAUAAUGACGGUAACCGGAGAAGAAGCCCCGGCUAACUUCGUGCCAGCAGCCGCGGUAAUACGCAGGGGGCUAGCGUUGUUCGGAUUUACUGGGCGUAAAGCGCACGUAGGCGGACUUUUAAGUCAGGGGUGAAAUCCCGGGGCUCAACCCCGGAACUGCCUUUGAUACUGGAAGUCUUGAGUAUGGUAGAGGUGAGUGGAAUUCCGAGUGUAGAGGUGAAAUUCGUAGAUAUUGUGAGGAACACCAGUAGCGAAGGCGGCUUUCUGGACUGCAACUGCCACUGCGGCACGAAAGCGUGGGUAGCAAACAGG
RNAcentral lists this ribosomal RNA (404 nucleotides) under Verrucomicrobiota bacterium. RNAcentral's name for it is "Verrucomicrobia bacterium partial 16S ribosomal RNA". It matches the Rfam family "Bacterial small subunit ribosomal RNA", at positions 355 to 776 of the family's 1533-position model. The record is from RNAcentral. Lineage: Bacteria; Pseudomonadati; Verrucomicrobiota.